CCUACGGGAGGCAGCAGUGAGGAAUAUUGGUCAAUGGACGAGAGUCUGAACCAGCCAAGUAGCGUGAAGGAUGACUGCCCUAUGGGUUGUAAACUUCUUUUAUAAAGGAAUAAAACGAGGCACGUGUGCCUUUUUGCAUGUACUUUAUGAAUAAGGAUCGGCUAACUCCGUGCCAGCAGCCGCGGUAAUACGGAGGAUCCGAGCGUUAUCCGGAUUUAUUGGGUUUAAAGGUAGCGUAGAUGGGUUGUUAAGUCAGUUGUGAAAGUUUGCGGCUCAACCGUAAAAUUGCAAUUGAUACUGGCAGUCGUGAGUACAGUUGAGGUAGGCGGAAUUCGUGGUGUAGCGGUGAAAUGCUUAGAUAUCACGAAGAACCCCGAUUGCGAAGGCAGCUUACUAAACUGUGACUGACAUUGAUGCUCGAAAGUGUGGGUAUCAAACAGGAUUAGAUACCCGAGUAGUC
Molecule: ribosomal RNA, 460 nt
Filed under: uncultured bacterium
Lineage: Bacteria
Description: partial 16S ribosomal RNA
Rfam family: Bacterial small subunit ribosomal RNA
Source: RNAcentral